Molecule: long non-coding RNA, 2034 nt
Filed under: Nicotiana tabacum (common tobacco)
Lineage: Eukaryota; Viridiplantae; Streptophyta; Magnoliopsida; Solanales; Solanaceae
Description: long non-coding RNA (NTAB_LNC001916)
Source: RNAcentral
UGGUACAACAAAUAGUAAAUAGAUAUAGGAAGAAUGCCAAGCAGCACUAUAUCAAUACUCCUAGAAAAGGCCUAUGUUAAUCACCUCUGAACACCGCUAGGACUAACACCAAGAUCUGCACAAGAAGUGUAUAAGUGUAGUAUGAGUACAACUAACCCCAUGUACUAAGUAAGAAUUGAGCUUAACCUCGACAAGGUAGUGAUGAGGCUACUACAAGAUACUCACUUUAAAGUUGCACGAGUAAUAAACAGAAAACAAUGGAAUUAUAAAGAAAUGAAAAAUAACCUUAAUGAAUGGAAUAAGAGAAUAGAUAGUAGAGGUCCCUAGAAUAUCAUCACAUCACAACCUCAUAACAACACUGUUGUCACACCUCCUUUUUCCCGAUAGGAGGAUAGGGAGUUUUUCCAAUUAAAGUGACAAUAAUCAAAAUGGAAUUAUUUUUUCAAAUCAGAGUCGCCACUUGGGAUAAUUAUAUGGUGUCCCAAGUCACCGGUUUAUUUUAAAUACCUAAUCGAGGAAAAUUGACUGUGUUUUAAAGUCUACGAAACCAGAAGACCGGGUAACGAAUUCUGUUAACCCAGGAAAAGGUGUAGGCAUUCCCGAAUUUCGUGGUUUUAGCACGGUUGCUUUAAUCAUACCUGGCUUAAUGAAUUUGUUUAAUUACGUGUUUUAGAACAUAUGUGCAUUUUUCAUUUUACCGCUUUUAAUUAAGAAAUUAUCCUAAAGCAAGUCACGCGAACGUGUACUCAUUUCGUUUGGCGCGUCAAGAAUCAUGUCACGCGUACUUAUCCACAAUUAAUUAUGCUUUAUUAACAUUAAGAAAGUUUGGUUGAAGUUGCGAGAACGCAUACCUCGAUUUAUUUAUAGGAAUCGUUAUUAUGUCACACGAACGUAUACAUAAUCCCGAGGAUUCGAUUAAUUAGUGUGCCUAAAGCAUUCUAACGAUUGAAAGUAAAAGAAUAAAAACCGUAGGAUAUUUCUGAUGCUCAAGCUUCUUAAAUUGAGAUUGGCUCUUCCUAAAAAAAAUGAGCACAACCAACAAAAUCCAAGUAUAACCAUUUUGAAACUAGAGAAAGAAAGAGUAUAAAUAAUUAAAUAAACAAACAUACAUACAAACUGAUUAUUUCCCCUCACCCUAUUUCACCACUCAAAAGAUACAAGAGUACACAGAAAGAUGACAAAAUAUCUCAAGCAAAUAUGCAAAAAUUGUAUCAAAGAUACUUGCACCUUUCUGACAGUAUAAAAAUGCUAGAUCUAAUUACAACGGAGGAUGCAGAUCAAAAGAUGAAAACGACAGAGAAGUUGGAAUUUUACCUAAGAUCAGUACCAAAGUCACAAAAUCUUAAAAUUUUCUUCCAUCACACAAUAAGGACAUCUUGUCUUGUUAACAUUACAAUGAUUACCGGUAAAAUCUGUGUGGAAUAAACCGCGAUCGGAGAUGACAGAUGGAACUUAGAACUGAAAAUUCUUCGGCGACCUUGACUUCAAGCACAAAGCUUCAAUGUAAGAUUUCAGAACUAAUAAUGGUAGCCUUUUCGUGUAAGUUUUCAGCUGGUAUAGAGGGAUUUAUAGGAGAAGAAACUGAAGUGUUGAUGGCUAUUUUUCAGCUGAUUUUUAGUUCUGUUUAGGCUGAGAAAGCGAUGGUUUUUGAGCUAGUUCUUGGGGCUGGAGAUGAGGAGUUGGGUGGCGGAUUGUAAAAGAUGAUGGUGUGGCUGCUGAAGAUGGAAGGGCCUGGGUUGGGUGAAUUUCAGCUGUGUUUAGAGAUGGAGCAGGGUGGGGAACUACCGAACCCGCCGGUUGUCUAGUUCGGCGGCUGGUUCUCCGGUUAUGGGGGUAGAGGUCGACGGCUGCUUCUAAGCUUUGAGGAAGAAGCUAAUGCACAGCUCCUCUCUAACUCUAGGGCCUUCUUAUGUUUUUUUUUUAGGUUUGUUUUAUGUAUUUAUGGGAAGGGGCUUAUGGUUAAGGGGAAUGGCCUAUCCGAAUUUGGGCUCGAAAGUUGGGUUGGGUCCAUAGGGUAAUGGUGUAGGGAUGUCC